GUGACCUGCGGAAGGAUCAUUAUUGAAUGUUUAAGGAGUUGUAGCUGAUCUGAAAGGAUAUGUGCUCGCUUCUUUCUUCUCUCAACCACCUGUGCACCCUUUUGUAGUCUUGGAUACAUUUCAAACGAAAGUUUGGUUUUGGAGAGUUUUGCUGUAUUAUGAAAAUGAUCAGCUCUUUCUGUGAUUUCCAAGGCUAUGUUUUUACAUACCCCAUUAUAAUAAUUAAAGAAUGUUUUACUAGUUUGUGCCGUCAAAAAGCAUGACUAUAUUUUAAAAUACAAUUUUCAACAAUGGAUCUCUUGGCUCUCGCAUCGAUGAAGAACGCAGCGAAAUGCGAUAAGUAAUGUGAAUUGCAGAUUUCAGUGAAUCAUCGAAUCUUUGAACGCACCUUGCGCUCCUUGGUAUUCCGAGGAGCAUGCCUGUUUGAGUGUCAUUAAUCUCUCAACCUUGCCAGCUUUAUGGUUGUUGCAAGGCUUGGAUAUGAGGGUUUUUGCUGGCUCCUUAGUCGAGUCGGCUCCCUUUAAAUGUAUUAGCGGAACCUCUGCGAACCAUCAUUGGUGUGAUAAUAUAUCUAUGCCAUUGAUGUAAGCCUUCAUUUGUUUGAAGUUUGGAUCAGCUUAUAAUCGUCUUCGGACAACGUUAAUAGGAAUCUUUUU
Molecule: ribosomal RNA, 656 nt
Filed under: fungal sp. SF(I)1B-2
Lineage: Eukaryota; Fungi
Description: eukaryotic LSU rRNA
Rfam family: 5.8S ribosomal RNA (bases 280-433)
Source: RNAcentral